Molecule: unclassified non-coding RNA, 223 nt
Filed under: plant metagenome
Description: partial contains small subunit ribosomal RNA, internal transcribed spacer 1, and 5.8S ribosomal RNA
Source: RNAcentral
UUUCCGUAGGUGAACCUGCGGAAGGAUCAUUAAAGGGAAUAUGCCCUUCGGGGUAGAUCUCCCACCCUUUGUUUAUAUUACCUUUGUUGCUUUGGCAGGCCCGUCUUCGGACCACCGGCUUCGGCUGGUCAGCGCUUGCCAGAGGACCCAAAACUCUUAUUAUUAAUGUCGUCUGAGUACUAUAUAAUAGUUAAAACUUUCAACAACGGAUCUCUUGGUUCUG